UUGUUUGUUUUUUUGAGCGUUCGGUGGAUGCCUUGGCAUCAGGGGCCGAUGAAGGACGUGGUGGCCUGCGAUAAGCCUCGGGGAGCCGGCUGACGGGCUGUGAUCCGAGGGUGUCCGAAUGGGGGGACCCGGCACGAGUUAUGUCGUGUCACCUGCGCCUGAAUUUCAUAGGGUGUGGGGGGUGACGCGGGGAAGUGAAACAUCUUAGUACCCGUAGGAGAAGAUAUUCCGUGAGUAGUGGCGAGCGAAAGCGGAGGAUGGUUAAACCGUGGUGGUGUGAUCACCCGGCAGGGGUUGCCGCCGCGGGGUUGUGGGACGCGUGUCUCCAGUGCCUGCCGGUGCUGGGCGCAGUGAGAAACUGGUGUGGUAGCCGAACCCUCUGGGAUGGGGGGCCGUAGUGGGUGAGAGCCCCGUAGGUGAAACCGUGCCGGCUGUGUGCGCGUGCUCCCGAGUAGCACGGGGCCCGUGGAAUCCUGUGUGAAUCUGCCAAGACCACUUGGCUGCCUGAAUACCUCCUGGUGACCGAUAGCGGAUGAGUACCGUGAGGGAAUGGUGAAAAGUACCCCGGGAGGGGAGUGAAACAGUACCUGAAACCGGGCGCUUGCAAGCCGUCAGAGCCCUUGCUGGCCUCCCUUUGCCGGGGGGUGGGGGGUGAUGGCGUGCCUAUUGAAGAAUGAGCCUGCGAGUUAGUGCCGUGUCGCGAGGUUAACCCGCCUGGGGGAGCCGUAGCGAGAGCGAGUCCGAACAGGGCGUUUGUAGUGGCGCGGUCUAGACCCGAAGCGGGGUGAUCUACCCAUGGCCAGGUUGAGGCGCGUGUAAGAGCGUGUGGAGGACCGGACCCACCUAGGUUGAAAACUGGGGGGAUGAGCUGUGGGUAGGGGUGAAAGGCCAAUCAAACUCCGUGAUAGCUGGUUCUCCCCGAAAUGCAUUUAGGUGCAGCGUCCCGUGCUUCCCGCCGGAGGUAGAGCUACUGGGUGGCUGAUGGGCCCCACAGGGUUACUGACGUCAGCCAAACUCCGAAUGCCGGUCGGGUGGGAGCGGGGCAGUGAGACCGCGGGGGAUAAGCUCCGUGGUCGAGAGGGAAACAGCCCAGACCGUCGGCUAAGGCCCCUAAGCGUGUGCUAAGUGGGAAAGGAUGUGCGGCCGCGUGGACAACCAGGAGGUUGGCUUAGAAGCAGCCAUCCUUGAAAGAGUGCGUAAUAGCUCACUGGUCAAGUGGUCGUGCGCCGACAAUGUAGCGGGGCUCAAGCGCACCGCCGAAGCCGCGGGCCUGCCACACGGUCCCCACGACCGGCCCCCCUCCUUGGGGGUGGUUGUCAGGGGUGGUGGGUGGUAGGGGAGCGUCCUGCACCGGGUGAAGCCCCGGGGUGACCCAGGGGUGGACGGUGCGGGAGUGAGAAUGCAGGCAUGAGUAGCGAUACUAGGGUGGGAAGCCCUAGCGCCGAAUGACCAAGGGUUCCAGGGCCAGGCUAGUCCGCCCUGGGUGAGUCGGGACCUAAGGCGAGGCCGACAGGCGUAGUCGAUGGACGACGGGUUGAUAUUCCCGUACCGGCGAAGCACCGCCCAUGCUGACGCGCGGGUGCUGACCCACGCCCCGGGUCCCACGUUAUUGCUGCCACCGGGUCCGGCCUCGGCCGGCUGGUGGUGGUGGUGGGCCGGGGUCUGGGGACCCUCCGUGCAGGUAGGCAAGCGUGUUAACAGGGGUGACGCACAGUGGUAGCCUCCGCGGGCCUGAUGGCUUGGCCCGUCCAAGCGCGCGGCCCGCCGCCCAGGCAAAUCCGGGCGGCUGUCUUUGAUGACGAGGGUGAGGCGUGAUGGUGACCGGCACGGUUGUGCUGGGAAGCAGGGUGAUCCUGGGGUGCCGAGAAAAGCCUCGACGCGAUGGUGCCAGCCGCCCGUACCCUAAACCGACACAGGUGGUCGGGCAGAGCAUGCCUAGGCGCACGAGAGAAUCAUGGUGAAGGAACUCGGCAAAAUGCCCCCGUAACUUCGGGAGAAGGGGGGCCCGAGCCCUGAGGCCCCGCAGCGGGCUGGGGGUGAGGGCCGCAGAGACCAGGGGGGAGCGACUGUUUAUCAAAAACACAGGUCCGUGCGAAGCCGCAAGGCGAUGUAUACGGACUGACGCCUGCCCGGUGCUGGAAGGUCAAGAGGAGCCGUCAACCCCCAGGGGUGAAGCGGCGAGUUCAAGCCCCAGUAAACGGCGGUGGUAACUAUAACCAUCCUAAGGUAGCGAAAUUCCUUGUCGGGUAAGUUCCGACCUGCACGAAUGGCGUAACGACUUCCCCGCUGUCUCCACCAUGAGCUCGGCGAAAUUGCACUACGAGUAAAGAUGCUCGUUACGCGCAGAAGGACGGAAAGACCCCGGGACCUUUACUACAGCUUGGUAUUGGCGCCCGCCACGGCUUGUGCAGGAUAGGUGGGAGACCGCGAGACGGCCGCGCCAGCGGUCGUGGAGUCGUCGUUGAGAUACCACUCUGGCCGUGGCGUGCGCCUGAACCUCGGCCCGUGAGCCGGGCCAGGGACAGUGCCUGGUGGGUAGUUUAACUGGGGCGGUUGCCUCCUAAAGAGUAACGGAGGCGCUCAAAGGUCCCCUCAGCCUGGUCGGCAACCAGGUGUCGAGUGCAAGUGCACAAGGGGGCUUGACUGCGAGACCGACAGGUCGGGCAGGUGCGAAAGCAGGAACUAGUGAUCCGGCGAUCCCGAGUGGGUGGGUCGUCGCUCAACGGAUAAAAGGUACCCCGGGGAUAACAGGCUGAUCCUGCCCAAGAGUCCAUAUCGACGGCAUGGUUUGGCACCUCGAUGUCGGCUCGUCGCAUCCUGGGGCUGGAGCAGGUCCCAAGGGUUGGGCUGUUCGCCCAUUAAAGCGGUACGCGAGCUGGGUUCAGAACGUCGUGAGACAGUUCGGUCCCUAUCCUCUGCGCGCGCAGGAUACUUGAGAGGACCUGUCCCCAGUACGAGAGGACCGGGACGGACGAACCUCUGGUGUGCCAGUUGUCCCGCCCGGGGCACGGCUGGUUGGCCACGUUCGGCACGGGUAACCGCUGAAAGCAUCUAAGCGGGAAACCACCCUCAAGACAAGGUAUCCACAACCACCCCCCCCGGGGGUGGUUGGAAGGCCCCCAGCAGACCACUGGGUCGAUAGGCCGGACGUGGAAGGCCCGCAAGGACCUGCAAGCCGACCGGUACUAACAGGCCGACACAAACAACA
RNAcentral lists this ribosomal RNA (3208 nucleotides) under Actinomyces respiraculi. Its description in RNAcentral is "Bacterial large subunit ribosomal RNA". It matches the Rfam family "Bacterial large subunit ribosomal RNA". Lineage: Bacteria; Bacillati; Actinomycetota; Actinomycetes; Actinomycetales; Actinomycetaceae. The record is from Rfam by way of RNAcentral.